GUGCUAUCAAGGGUGUUAGAUAAGCAUGAAGUACCUGGCUUAGAGUAUCAUUCAUCUACUGUUGGCCGCCUAUUCAAAAGCGGGUUUGGGAGAUUUGGUCUUGGGCAGGCAAAACCAAGUCUGGCAGAUCACGAUGUUAUUCUCGUGUUUGUUGUGGGAGGCAUAAAUGGUGUAGAGGUUCGAGAAGCUCAGGAGGCAUUAUCUGAGAGCAGCAGGCCUCUGCUUCUUCAAUA
This 233-nucleotide unclassified non-coding RNA is filed under the name Hevea brasiliensis (rubber tree). Lineage: Eukaryota; Viridiplantae; Streptophyta; Magnoliopsida; Malpighiales; Euphorbiaceae. The record is from RNAcentral.